Molecule: long non-coding RNA, 215 nt
Filed under: Carica papaya (papaya)
Lineage: Eukaryota; Viridiplantae; Streptophyta; Magnoliopsida; Brassicales; Caricaceae
Description: long non-coding RNA (CPAP_LNC006943)
Source: RNAcentral
GAACUCCAAAAUUAGCAUGAAUGAGUUUUGGACACCAAUUUUCGAUUUUUGGGGGUAUUUUUAGGUAUGUAACGAGUGUUUUAAAUUCUGCAGGAAAAAUUCAAGGAAUUCGGUACCCGUUAGGAGGCGUAGUAGACAGUUUGACGUCUGAAACACUGAUUCAGAUAAAGAUCCCUCAUCUUAUUCUCCGUUAUGGUAAAUUGAGGCUUAACGAU